GCGGCCUAAUCUUGGAGAACAGAUUAACCUACAUUUUCAGGCAGCUGCGAGUGAGAGAUCAAACUUGUUCAGCAUUUUAGCCCACUGAAGCCAAAAGAUGUUAUCCUAUCCCCCCAAAGAGUCAAGAAAUCCAUCAGAAACAGAAGACGUUGGAUUCUCCAAUGUGUAAUAUGCUCGCACUGCCUGCUGCUUUAUAAUUUACAUCAUAGGAGUUCACAUUCUGAGCUUGACCUCGACGCUGCUGCUGGAUGGGUUUUCAGGAGUGAGCUCCAUGCUUGCAGUAGCGGUGUCAUGUCGGUGUUUCAAGGAGGACCUUUUUCCCUCUUCUCCUGCCAUGGAGUGCUUGAGAGCUGCAGAGCUUUUUGCUUCUUGGCCUGUUUGUGACUGGGUGAGAGAGAGACAGGAAAGAUAAGGAUUUGACUGCAUUUGGGUCUCUGAAAUGACCAAGAGGUUGAG
RNAcentral lists this long non-coding RNA (456 nucleotides) under Struthio camelus australis. RNAcentral's name for it is "lncRNA (ENSSCUG00000009936.1)". The record is from RNAcentral. Lineage: Eukaryota; Metazoa; Chordata; Aves; Struthioniformes; Struthionidae.